Molecule: ribosomal RNA, 242 nt
Filed under: uncultured bacterium
Lineage: Bacteria
Description: partial 16S ribosomal RNA
Rfam family: Bacterial small subunit ribosomal RNA
Source: RNAcentral
GAUCCUGGCUCAGGAUGAACGCUGGCGGCGUGCUUAACACAUGCAAGUCGAGCGAAGCACUUUGGAAAGAUUCCUCGGAUGAUUUCCUUUGUGACUGAGCGGCGGACGGGGUGGGUAAACGGCGUGGGUAACCUGCCUCAUACAGGGGGAUAACAGUUAGAAAUGACUGCUAAUACCGCAUAAGACCACGGUACCGCAUGGUACAGUGGUAAAAACUCCGGUGGUAUGAGAUGGACCCGCGU